This 1486-nucleotide ribosomal RNA is filed under the name uncultured Bordetella sp. Its description in RNAcentral is "partial 16S-23S ribosomal RNA intergenic spacer". It matches the Rfam family "Bacterial small subunit ribosomal RNA". Lineage: Bacteria; Pseudomonadati; Pseudomonadota; Betaproteobacteria; Burkholderiales; Alcaligenaceae. The record is from RNAcentral.
CGGCUCGGAUCAUGGCUCAGAUUGAACGCUGGCGGAUGCUUUACACAUGCAAGUCGAACGGCAGCACGGACUUCGGUCUGGUGGCGAGUGCUUAAUCGUGAGUAAUGUAUCGGAACGUGCCUAGAUAAUACGCGGGGGAUAACGCAUGCCUUAUGGUAAGCAGCAUUACUGCAUAGCUGCCCUUCGGGGAAAGCGGGACCUUCGGGCCUCGCACACUAUUAGAGCGGCCGAUAUCGGAUUAGCUAGUUGAAUGGUAACGGCUCACCGGGCGACGAUCCGUGCAGCUGGUUUGAGGACGACCAGCCACACUGGGACCGAGACACGGCCCAGACUCCUACGGGAGGCAGCAGCAAAUUUUGGACAACUGGGGAAACUCCAUCCGCCAUCCCGCGUGUGCGAUGAAGGCCUUCGGGUUGUAAAGCACCCUUUGGCAGGAAGAAACCGCACGUGAUAACACCGUGCAACUGACGGUACCUGCAGAAUAAGCACUGGCUAACCACGUGCCAGCAGCCGCGGUAAUACGUAGGGUGCAAGCGUUAAUCGGAAUUACUGGGCGUAGCGUGCAACGCAGGCGGUUCGGAAAGAAAGAUGUGGAAUAUCCCAGAGCUGAAUUGAAUUGUUUUUAACUACCGAGCCAGAGUGUGUCAGAGGGGAGGUAAUCUCCGCGUGUAGCAGUGAAAUGCGUAGAUAUGCGGAGGAACACCGAUGGCGAAGGCAGCCUCCUGGGAUAACACUGACGCUCAUGCACGAAAGCGUGGGGAGCAAAGACAGGAUUAGAUGCCCCCGGCAGUCCACGCCCUAAACGAUGUCAACUAGCUGUUGGGGCCUUCGGGCCUUGGUAGCAGCUAACGCGUGAAGUUGACCGCCUGGGGAGUACGGUCGCAAGAUUAAAACUCAAAGGAAUUGACGGAGACCUGCACAAGUUGUGGAUGAUUCAAGACACUCCGAUGCGGAACGCGAAAAACCUUACCUACCCUUGACAUGUCUGGAAUCCUGAAGAGAUUUGGGAGGCUGCAAGAGAACCGGAACACAGGUGCUGUGGCUGUCGUCAGCUCGUGUCGUGAGAUGCUGGGUUAAGUCCCGCAACGAGCGCAACCCUUGUCAUUAGUUGCUACGAAAGGGCAAUUUAAUGAGACUGCCGGUGACAAACCGGAGGAAGGUGGGGAUGACGUCAAGUCCCUCAUGGCCCUAUGGGUAGGGCGCCUCACACGUCAUACAAUGGCCGGGACAGAGGGUCGCCAACCCGCGAGGGGGAGCCAUCCCAGAAACCCGAUCGUAGUCCGGAUCGCAGUUCGCAACUCGACUGCGUGAAGUCGGAAUCGCUAGUAAUCGCGGAUCACACCUGUCGUGCCGACCGCGCGUUCCCGGCCCCACACACCGCCCGUCACACCAUGGGAGUGGGUUUUACCAGAAGUAGUUAGCCUAACCGUAAGGAGGGCGAUUACCACGGUAGGAUUCAUGACUGGGGUGAAGUCGUAAUUAGUAA